GGGGGCCUCGCGCCCCUUACAUAGCAACGGCAGGGCUGCCCGAGCCGCGCCUCCACACCAAAAUCAUGCCUACAAAUCCCUCAUGCACACACGUCUGCACCUAACCAUCGCGCCAACACUUCAUAUAAAAAUGUUAUUGAUAAUCAAAAUAGCCAAAUUAUGUAUUGAACUCAGUAAGUCGGACGUCACGUGACUCGAGGCGAGUGGGUUGGCUCCAUGGUGACUUUGUUCAAAUCUUCAGUGUUUCAUGGAGAAAAUUCUGGAGCAGAACCUGAUGAUGGACAUGCACAAGGGCCCGUCAAUUUAUCAGAUAUAUCUGAGGACACCGUGGGAAGCUAAUGAAGAAAUUACCAGAGCCUUGGCUGAGAAUGGUUUGGGAACAGCUCCAUCCAAGACCACAGCAAAUUGCAGAAAAUUAUGGAUGCAGCCCAGUUCAUGACACAAACCAACCGCCCUUCUAUUGAUUCCAUUUACACUUCACGCUGCCUCGGAAUGGCCACCAACAUAAUCAAGGAUGAGUCUCACCCCGGUCACUGCCUCUUUCCCCUCUCCCUUCAGACAAACGAUACAGAAGUGUGAAAACGCACAACUCCAGAUUCAGGGACAAUUUCUUCACGGCUGUUAUGAGCCAACUGAACCAUCCUAUCAACACCUAGAGAAUGGUCCUCAACUACUGUCUAUCUCACUGGAGAUUCUCAGACUAUCUUUCAUUGGACUUUACUGGACUUUAUCUUGCACUAAACGUUAUUCCCUUUAUCAUGUAUCUGUACACUGUGGCUGGCACACUUGUAAUCAUGUCUUUCUGCUGACCUGUUAGCAUGCAAUUAAAAGCUUUUCACAGUACCUCAGCACAGGUGGUAAUAAACAAACUAAUUAAAGGGCUGCAAGGAAAAGCCUGAGAA
Molecule: long non-coding RNA, 902 nt
Organism: Leucoraja erinaceus (little skate)
Lineage: Eukaryota; Metazoa; Chordata; Chondrichthyes; Rajiformes; Rajidae
Exons: 2
Source: RefSeq, a predicted model, not a curated record